CUCCCUGGCCCUCCCCUUCACCGUCUCCCCCUUUGGAAGGCGUGGGGAGAGUGAGUAGAAAGGUAAUUUAUCAGCUUUAUCCCAAAGACUUGUCUUUGGCAGCUAAUCCUGGGUUAGAUAGAGGGAGGAUUUCUGUUGUGGAGACUUAACUUAUACCCAUUCAGGUCAAAGUUCAGAAAUUCAACAGAUUAAGGGUUGUGAAAGUUUCUUGGAAAGGUUUGGGGCAUGUGUCGCAAAGGACUUUGUGUUGGCUUCUCCUUGUUCCGGGCCCCUGCCUGUAGUGCCCUCACCCACCAUCCCUGUGUGGCCCUCUCCUCUAGCAGGCCUCUCUAGCCCAGCUUGCCCUGCUUUCUCUAGCCUCUGGUUGUCUUAGUCUGUGUUAUACAACCAAGCAUUUUGUGUGUGCGUCCUGUGGCCCAGGAAGAUUCUGGAACUAGAGUUGUGCCUUUCAUGUCUUUGUGCCCCUGUGUCACCUGUCACUGUGCUGAGCUCCUUUGCUUAGCUCUUGGCUAGGCACAGAAAUGACAGACAAGGGACGUUCUCAGGCUGGCUGGGGGGACAGCUGGGCCCAGUAUGGGGAG
This 581-nucleotide long non-coding RNA is filed under the name Bos taurus (domestic cattle). Its description in RNAcentral is "long non-coding RNA NONBTAT023480". Lineage: Eukaryota; Metazoa; Chordata; Mammalia; Artiodactyla; Bovidae. The record is from RNAcentral.